This 330-nucleotide unclassified non-coding RNA is filed under the name soil metagenome. RNAcentral describes it as "partial contains 5.8S ribosomal RNA, internal transcribed spacer 2, and large subunit ribosomal RNA". The stretch from base 1 to 120 matches the Rfam family "5.8S ribosomal RNA", at positions 35 to 154 of the family's 154-position model. The record is from RNAcentral.
GAUGAAGAACGCAGCGAAAUGCGAUAAGUAAUGUGAAUUGCAGAAUUCAGUGAAUCAUCGAAUCUUUGAACGCACAUUGCGCCCUCUGGUAUUCCGGGGGGCAUGCCUGUUCGAGCGUCAUUAUAACCACUCAAGCUCUCGCUUGGUAUUGGGGUUCGCGGUUCCGCGGCCCCUAAAAUCAGUGGCGGUGCCUGUCGGCUCUACGCGUAGUAAUACUCCUCGCGAUUGAGUCCGGUAGGUCUACUUGCCAGCAACCCCUAAUUUUUUUAAGGUUGACCUCGGAUCAGGUAGGGAUACCCGCUGAACUUAAGCAUAUCAAUAAGCGGAGGA